Molecule: ribosomal RNA, 492 nt
Filed under: uncultured bacterium
Lineage: Bacteria
Description: partial 16S ribosomal RNA
Rfam family: Bacterial small subunit ribosomal RNA
Source: RNAcentral
AGUGAACGCUGGCGGUAGGCCUAACACAUGCAAGUCGAACGGCAGCACAGUAAGAGCUUGCUCUUACGGGUGGCGAGUGGCGGACGGGUGAGGAAUACAUCGGAAUCUACUUUUUCGUGGGGGAUAACGUAGGGAAACUUACGCUAAUACCGCAUACGACCUACGGGUGAAAGCAUGGGAUCUUCGGACCUUGCGCGAUUGAAUGAGCCGAUGUCGGAUUAGCUAGUUGGCGGGGUAAAGGCCCACCAAGGCGACGAUCCGUAGCUGGUCUGAGAGGAUGAUCAGCCACACUGGAACUGAGACACGGCCCAGACUCCUACGGGAGGCAGCAGUGGGGAAUAUUGGACAAUGGGCGCAAGCCUGAUCCAGCCAUACCGCGUGGGUGAAGAAGGCCUUCGGGUUGUAAAGCCCUUUUGUUGGGAAAGAAAAGCAGCAGGUUAAUACCCCGCUGUUCUGACGGUACCCAAAGAAUAAGCACCGGCUAACUUCGUG